ACAGCAGAAACUAUAGUAAGACCACCACAUGCUAGGUAAUGCUAAUAUUAACAGCCCAUCCAACACAGCUGAAACUAUAGUAAGACCACCACAUGCUAGGUAAUGCUAAUAUUAACAGCCCAUCCAACACAGCUGAAACUAUAGUAAGACCACCACAUGCUAGGUAAUGCUAAUAUUAACAGCCCAUCCAACACAGCUGAAACUAUAGUAAGACCACCACAUGCUAGGUAAUGCUAAUAUUAACAGCCCAUCCAACACAGCUGAAACUAUAGUAAGACCACCACAUGCUAGGUAAUGCUAAUAUUAACAGCCCAUCCAACACAGCUGAAACUAUAGUAAGACCACCACAUGCUAGGUAAUGCUAAUAUUAACAGCCCAUCCAACACAGCUGAAACUAUAGUAAGACCACCACAUGCUAGGUAAUGCUAGUAUUAACAGCCCAUCCAACACAGCUGAAACUACAGUAAGACCACCACAUGCUAGGUAAUGCUAAUAUUAACAGCCCAUCCAACACAGCUGAAAUUAUAGCUAGCCUUGUUUAGUAAUCACAGCGUCAGCUUCCCCACUAAGGUCCAAUGUGAUAACUUGAAAUCUGAGGAAGAAAGUCAGGUUUAAGAAGUAGUGUGACAUUUUAAAUGAUGCCGUAUAUCUAUGAAUAUAUGCUUAAUGAUAAAAAGAUCCAGUAAUGCUCGACUGCUGAACAGCGCGUAUAGCGGCCAACAGCAUUUGGGCAGCAUGAUGGUGGUAGAUAUGACCCACUCUCACUGAAACUACUGUAGCAGAGUGAGUCUCAUCAGGGUAGAAGAUGCCUGCAUACUCACUAUGUACAAGCAUACAUGAUGACAUGCGUAAAUGUAUUACUAGCAGAAGAUUAAUAAGAAUGAACAACAGUAGCUAAUACAUGAUGACUAGAUGGAAGUGAUCGCUACAGUAGCAUAUAAUGUAAAGAUGGACGGACAGGGAGGACUAACUAUGUCAGGAUGGACGGACAGGGAGGACUAACUAUGUCAAGAUGGGCCGACAGGGAGGACUAACUAUGUAAAGAUGGACCGACAGGGAGGACUAACUAUGUAAAGAUGGACCGACAGGGAGGACUAACUAUGUCAAGAUGGGCCGGCAGGGAGGACUAACUAUGUAAAGAUGGACCGACAGGGAGGACUAACUAUGUAAAAAUGGGCCGACAGGGAGGACUAACUAUGUAAAGAUGGACCGACAGGGAGGACUAACUAUGUAAAGAUGGACCGACAGGGAGGACUAACUAUGUAAAGAUGGACCGACAGGGAGGACUAACUAUGUAAAGAUGGACCGACAGGGAGGACUAACUAUGUAAAGAUGGACCGACAGGGAGGACUAACUAUGUAAAAUACAGAACAGGCUUAGAAUAUGGCUAAUACAUCAGAGCCUAAACCUACUGUUGUAGAUAAGGAUGAAGUAAAUAUAUAAAAUGGAAACUAAUAAUGUGACUCAUGCAACAGUAUGAAAUAGUAUUUGUCACAUGUGCGGAAUACAACAGGUGUAGAUCUUACAGGGAAAUGCUUACUUACAAGCCCCUUAACCAACUAUGCUUUCAGAAGAUACAAAAAAAUAAGUUACGAAAAAAUAAGUGGUAAGUAAAAAAUAGAAAAUAAUAGUAACAAAUAAUUCAACAGCAGCAGUAAAAUAACAUUAUAGAGGCUAUAUAAAGGGAAAGGGGGAUACCUAGUCAGUUGUACAACUGAAUGUAUUCAACUGAAAUUUGUCUUCUGCAUUUAACCCCACCCCUCUACAGGGGGUAUCGUACAGAGUCAAUUUGGGGGGCACCGGUUAGUUGAGGUAAUAUGUACAUGUAGGUAGGGUUAAGGUGACUAUGCAUAGAUAAUAAACAGGUUAGUUGAGGUAAUAUGUACAUGUUGGUAGGGUUAAGGUGACUAUGCAUAGAUAAUAAACAGGGUAAUUGAGGUAAUAUGUAUAUGUAGGUAGAGGUAAAGUGACUGUGCAUAGAUAAUAAACAGGUUAGUUGAGGUAAUAUGUACAUGUAGGUAGAGUUAAAGUGAUUAUGCAUAGAUAAUAAACAGGGUAGUUGAGGUAAUAUGUACAUGUAGGUAGAGUUAAAGUGACUAUACAUAGAUAAUAAACAGGUUAGUCGAGGUAAUAUGUACAUGUAGGUAGAGUUAAAGUGACUGUGCAUAGAUAAUAAACAGGUUAGUUGAGGUAAUAUGUACAUGUAGGUAGGGUUAAAGUGACUAUACAUAGAUAAUAAACAGGGUAGUUGAGGUAAUAUGUACAUGUAGGUAGAGUUAAAGUGACUGUGCAUAGAUAAUAAACAGGUUAGUUGAGGUAAUAUGUACAUGUAGGUAGAGGUAAAGUGACUGUGCAUAGAUAAUAAACAGGUUAGUUGAGGUAAUAUGUACAUGUAGGUAGAGGUAAAGUGACUGUGCAUAGAUAAUAAACAGGGUGUUGCAGCAGCGUCUUGGUCGCCCUUUGAUUAGCUGUUCAGGAGUCUUGGCUUGGGGGUAGAAGCUGUUCAGAAGCCUUUUGGACCUAGACUUGGCGGUCCGGAACCUCUUGCCGUGUGGUAGCAAAGAGAACAACAGCCUAUGACUGGGGUGGCUGGAGUCUGACAAUUUUUAUGGCCUUCUUCUGACACCGUCAGGUUAGAGGUCCUGGAUGUCAGGAAGCUUGGCCCCAGUGAUGUACUGGGCCAUACGGGCCUUUUGAUCGGAGGCCGAGCAGUUGCCAUAACAGUCGGUGAUGCACCCAGUCAGUCAGUAUGCACUAAUGCAGCCUUUCUUAAAGUUGGGUCACGGACCUGUUAAUGGUGGGUCGUGACGUGUCAGUGUAAAUACGUCAUUAUUUCAUGAAUUACUGGAAUUGAUUUGUCCAAGUGCAUCUGCGCUCUC
This is a long non-coding RNA of Oncorhynchus keta (chum salmon), 2879 nucleotides long. RefSeq lists it as uncharacterized. The record is from RefSeq and is a predicted model, not a curated record. NCBI's taxonomy places the organism in Eukaryota, Metazoa, Chordata, Actinopteri, Salmoniformes, Salmonidae. The transcript is spliced from 5 exons.